RNAcentral lists this ribosomal RNA (253 nucleotides) under uncultured bacterium. RNAcentral describes it as "partial 16S ribosomal RNA". It matches the Rfam family "Bacterial small subunit ribosomal RNA", at positions 524 to 776 of the family's 1533-position model. The record is from RNAcentral.
UACGUAGGCAGCGAGCGUUGUUCGGAAUUAUUGGGCGUAAAGAGCGUGUAGGCGGUUUUGUAGGUCCGCUGUGAAAACUCGAGGCUCAACCUCGAGACGCCGGUGGAAACCAUCAGGCUAGAGUCCGGAAGAGGAGAGUGGAAUUCCUGGUGUAGCGGUGAAAUGCGCAGAUAUCAGGAAGAACACCCGUGGCUAAGGCGGCUCUCUAGUACGGUACUGACGCUGAGACGCGAAAGCGUGGGGAGCGAACAGG